GGGCCGGGGACAUCCCGGGCGAGAGUCGGGACGGAGGCUCCACGGGCGCAGUGACGCUCUGCGUGGGCGAUCCCGAGGUACCGAGGGGUGCGAGGAGAGCGAGGAGCCCGAGG
Long non-coding RNA from Amblyraja radiata (thorny skate), 113 nucleotides. RefSeq lists it as uncharacterized. NCBI's taxonomy places the organism in Eukaryota, Metazoa, Chordata, Chondrichthyes, Rajiformes, Rajidae. The record is from RefSeq and is a predicted model, not a curated record. The transcript has 3 exons.